Molecule: ribosomal RNA, 880 nt
Filed under: uncultured Verrucomicrobiota bacterium
Lineage: Bacteria; Pseudomonadati; Verrucomicrobiota
Description: uncultured Verrucomicrobia bacterium partial 16S ribosomal RNA
Rfam family: Bacterial small subunit ribosomal RNA (bases 768-880)
Source: RNAcentral
GCCGCGGACGAGCCCGGGGGGGGAUACGGCGCACCCCCGCAGCUCAUCUUAUCUUGACACCAUUCUAUAAGCCCUUUUGCUCGUCCUCCGUCGCGGCGGCCCCCGCGGGCGACUGGCGUAAGGGCCUCACGCCCCCGUCGGCGUUCGGUUGCGGCCGCUGCGCGCGCCUCUCGCGCGAUGUCGGCGGCCCGUCCGCGCUGCCCGCCGAGACGGUACACGCGCCCCCCUCUGCCCCUCGGUGCCGACCCGGCCCCUCCUCCCUGGCAAUGCGCCGAUCGCAGAAUGGCGCUUACCACCGCCGUUCUGUAGUCCUGCGAUGCCGGCUCGCCCCGGCUCCCUCGCCUGGCCCGGGUCGUUGGUGCAUCUUCCCGGGCCCGGCUACGGCUUUGCUCUCGAGUGAUCCGGGCCGUCACUGCCCGCUCCCGUGUCGGACCCAUACCGGACGCAUCGGCGCUGUGUGGCGCAUGCGUGGUGUAGCGGUGAUCUGCGUCGCCCGAGCGCGGUGCGCUGUCGCCACACUUCGAAUCCGGAUGCUCUGGUACAAUGCCGCGGCUCCGUCAGCGUUAGAAUGGUCACAGCAGGNAACCGGGCGAGCCGGAAGACAUCUGCGAAACCCAAAGAAGUGCACCGNUUUGCANAGGNAGCAAAUCGCACANAAAAUNGNCCCAGCUUCAGAUCACGUUGGAACUCGGCGNCAUGAAGCCGGCAUUCGUUAUUAACGGCGCAUCAGCUNCGGCCCCGUGAAUACGUUCCCAAGGCCUUGUACACACCGCCCCGUCACAUCAUGAAAGCCGGUUGUACCCGAAGUCGCUGUGUUAACCGCAAGGAAACAGGUGCCGAAGGUAAGGCUGGUGAUUGGGAUGAAGUCGUAACAAGGUAA